Molecule: ribosomal RNA, 186 nt
Filed under: Staphylococcus aureus
Lineage: Bacteria; Bacillati; Bacillota; Bacilli; Caryophanales; Staphylococcaceae
Description: partial 16S ribosomal RNA
Rfam family: Bacterial small subunit ribosomal RNA
Source: RNAcentral
UUUUAUGGAGAGUUUGAUCCUGGCUCAGGAUGAACGCUGGCGGCGUGCCUAAUACAUGCAAGUCGAGCGAACGGACGAGAAGCUUGCUUUUCUGAUGUUAGCGGCGGACGGGUGAGUAACACGUGGAUAACCUACCUAUAAGACUGGGAUAACUUCGGGAAACCGGAGCUAAUACCGGAUAAUAUU